Molecule: ribosomal RNA, 799 nt
Filed under: uncultured crenarchaeote
Lineage: Archaea; Thermoproteati; Thermoproteota
Description: bacterial SSU rRNA
Rfam family: Archaeal small subunit ribosomal RNA
Source: RNAcentral
UGCGAGUCGACGUAGCAAUACGUGGCAUACGGCUCAGUAACACGUAGUCAACAUGCCCAGAGGACGUGGAUAACCUCGGGAAACUGAGGAUAAACCAUGAUAGAUCAUAAUAUCUGGAAUGAUUUAUGGUUCAAAUCUAUAUGGCCUCUGGAUUGGACUGCGGCCGAUCAGGCUGUUGGUGAGGUAAUGGCCCACCAAACCUGAAACCGGUACGGGCUCUGAGAGGAGAAGCCCGGAGAUGGGCACUGAGACAAGGGCCCAGGCCCUAUGGGGCGCAGCAGGCGCGAAAUCUUUGCAAUAGGCGAAAGCCUGACAAGGUUACUCUGAGUGAUUUCCGUUAAGGAGAUCUUUUGACACCUCUAAAAAUGGUGUAGAAUAAGGGGUGGGCAAGCCUGGUGUCAGCCGCCGCGGUAAUACCAGCACCCCGAGUGGUCGGGACGAUUAUUGGGCCUAAAGCAUCCGUAGCCGGUUCUUUAAGUCCUCCGUUAAAUCCAUCUGCUUAACAGAUGGGCUGCGGAGGAUACUAUAGAGCUAGGAGGCGGGAGAGGCAAGCGGUACUCAGUGGGUAGGGGUAAAAUCCGUUGAUCCAUUGAAGACCACCAGUGGCGAAGGCGGCUUGCCAGAACGCGCUCGACGGUGAGGGAUGAAAGCUGGGGGAGCAAACCGGAUUAGAUACCCGGGUAGUCCCAGCUGUAAACGAUGCAGACUCGGUGAUGAAUAGGCUUAGUGCCUAUUCAGUGCCGCAGGGAAGCCGUUAAGUCUGCCGCCUGGGGAGUACGGUCGCAAGACUGAAACUUAA